UGGUAUCGCUUGGUGCUCUCAGGAAGCUGGAGACUCCAGUUCCUGAAAGAAGAGGACUUGUUCAACGCAGGAGUGGGGAGAGAGUUCCCUUCUUCAUAGAUGUGGCCUCUCAUUGAAAAUACUUGUGCUCUGACACCUCCUGGAACGUCACUGGUGCUUUUAUUUUCCAAAUGGAAGAGCUGCCGGACCUGUUCUGCCUUGUUCCCACCUGGUGGGGAUUAAGUGGAUGUGACUCUGGGACUGUUCUCUUGAGUAACUCCGCGUGAUAACUUCUGCUUG
RNAcentral lists this long non-coding RNA (279 nucleotides) under Equus asinus (donkey). RNAcentral's name for it is "lncRNA (ENSEASG00005035263.1)". The record is from RNAcentral. Lineage: Eukaryota; Metazoa; Chordata; Mammalia; Perissodactyla; Equidae.